UAAAUUUCCUGGCACAUAAUAAGGGCUUAAAAACAUUCACCAUUAUUUUUGAUCAUCCAUCCAUUCGUCUAUUCACUUGUUCCCUCGCCAUCCCGCCAUCCGUUUACCCAUCCCCCUCCCUUCCAGUCCUCUUCCUCUUCUGUCCGUGUGUCAGCAUUCCAAACUCCCUCCUUUUCCUUUCUUCCUACCUUCCCACCUUUCAUACACUUCUCUCUCCAUCCAUCCAUCCUUCUGUCCAUCAGUCCAUCUGUCCAUCAUCCACUCAUCCAGGCAUCCCUGCCUGGUGCUCCACGCCAGAUCGUUGAGAUUACAAAAACAAAUAACACACAACCCUUGACUCCAUGGGGAGCCCAGCUUAGAUGAAGAGACAGAAUUAGGCCUCUGGCUGUAGGGAGUAUUUGAUCCUGAAGAGACCAGAGAGAGAAAACCUGGGAAACUGUUUAACUUCCGUCCCAGCCCUGGAGGUUGUUUAAGAAGAUAUGUGAAACCCAACUACCUCCCAGGGCUCUUGAUGGCUCAAAGCUCAGUGGAUGAACACGGCUUGAUCAACACAGUCGGUAGCAGUGCAACGCUGCCCCUUCUGUCACGCCCCCUGCGCCCCAUCAAACAAACAAACGGCAUAAUUUGGGCUCCAGGGUGACCGUCUGUCAUGCUCUUCAAAACCAAAAAGGCUCCUCUGGGCUUAUGCGAUGUCGUUUCCCUGCCUCUUUCCACCAACUGCCUCACCUCCAUUUGGCAUCAAAUACGGUGCGUGCAGGGAGGGUCCUGCCCAGGCCACCCUGGGGAUCGUUGCCAUAUUUAUAGAGAAAACAGGACUCCUCAGACUAACAGGAUUUGCAAAGGAAGGCUCUCCUAGAAAGGAAUUCCAGGUUUCUCUUCUGAAGGCUGAGCAGCAAGGCUGGAGGCGGCAGUAAAUCUCCAGAGAAACUGACUCUGGGAGAAAUUUCCCUCCUGGCAGCAAUUCGAGGGCAGGGGAGCAUUUCAUGCACAAUCUUUUGUCUCAGCCUCCAGGGAGCUGCCAGUUUUCAUCCUGGCCCUUAAGCAGCCCUGAGCGUUGGUCACUAUCCUUGUCCUUAUGAGACUCAGUGUCUUUUGGGAGAGACCAAGAAAGAAGCUUGGAAUGACCACUAGGCGUUAUUAAAUAUUAGAAUGAGGGGUAAUGAGCCUGUUUUGUGUAUUUUUUGGUUAUAAGUGACAGAAAUAGAUGAAGCCAAGCAGGAUUUUUGUGGAUUUAUUUUUUGGCCACACCUGUGGCAUGCAGACAUUCCCAUCCAGGGACUGAACCAGUGCUACAGCAGUGACCCAAGCCACAUUGGUGACAAUGCUGAAUCCUUAACCUACGGAGCCACGAGGGAACUCUCAAGCAGAGAUUUGUAGUUUUAUAAAACUGGUUGAGCGGGUACCCACCCAUUUGAUGUUCAUGACAACCCUGCAGGUUUAUCUGCCUUCUAUACCCACUCCCCCCAGCCUCCCUGGCACCCCACAGUCUGUUCAUGCAGCCAGAGGGAUCCUGUUAAAACCCAAAUGACAGUGCACAUCCCUUCUGCUCAAAACCCUCCCCCAGCUCCCACCUCCCUCAGAGUAAAAGCCAAAUCUUGACUACGAGGUACAAGAUCCACCCCCCUCUGAUGUAAUUUCCUGGUUGUUGGAGACCAUGGAAACUGCUGAACGAUGCAGUGAACAAAUUGGGCACACGUGCAAAAGCACAACCACAAGGAGAUAGUCUUAUCAUUAACGGCACCUGAUUGUGCUCAUUAACCUACACCACUUUCUCUAAUAAAAGGCAUGUGGGCUGAAGCCCAGGCAUCUUUGUGCUGCGAAACAGAGUGCCUCCUGGUCCCCCAUCUUGCAAAGUUCUGAGUGUGCAAAUCCUUUUCUAGAGGCAAGAUGGUCGUCUCUCCUUCUUCCUGAAACGGCUCAACAUGUAACUCACUGCACAGAGUGCUCAGCUCUUUUUGACAGACGGCAAUGCUUUUGCUGAGCCUUUCUUUCAGGCUCCCCCUUCGGCAAUCAUCAUGUCCAGGGGGAUCUUAACAUGCUUCUUUACAACCUCUGUUCUUUGUAGCUGAUGGUCCUCUAGAAUCCCAAUCAAUUCCCAUAUUUCCCGAAGGUGAUUCAGGGCUUUCUGGGGACAUACCAUGGACUCUUCUGCCAGCACCUCACUUCUCCUCAUGGUGGACGGUCCAAGCAGGUGGGCGUCAUGGCCCCUGAACUUCUCUGCACGGGCUCCAGGACAGCCACCAGCUGCAAGCAUCCUCAAGCAUCCUCAAGCAUCCUCAGGCAUCCUCAGGCAUCCUCAGGCAUCCUCAAGCUCACUCCCUAUCAGCGCUACAGUGGCUGCACCUUUUUGGAUUCCUGGCGGGUGUGUGGAGCGGUGGCGUGGAGGAGGGCCGGCUGACAUGUGACUUCCCAGGAGUGGCGCUGGGAGCAUGGGGUUGACGUGGUGCUGCAUUGUGGUUCUGGCUUCAUGGAGGGACAGGCCAUUCUUGAAGUUCAUCUUAUGGGCCAGGCUUCCCCUGAUGGACGAAGACCACAAGGAUUGGAGUGGGCCCCAUGGACUCCAUUCCUGGUCUGUCUUGCCGUGGUCUCUGAAGUCUCAGGGAGGAGGCUUGUUUUACACAGAUGUACUUUAUUCAUGGCUGGAACUUCAAAAUGAGAAAUAGGAGGUCUCUGUUUCACUGGUAUGUGUCUUGUGUUAUGCAUGUGCGGCGUUGCCAAAAUUCAUGAGAGCUCUACUUGGCUUAAAGGAAAUUAAGCGCUUACGUAAGUUUUCAACAUACCUAAAGUAAAUGAAUUUUUGGUUCACGUGAACUGCAAAAAAUUCAGUAUCAGACAUUUAUUAUUAGAUGUUAAUAUCAAAGUUUGUUGCUCUAAUAUAGACAUGUCUUUAGAGUCCUAGACAUUAAGUAUAAUUCCUUAUUGUACUGGGUUUAAUGGAGGAAUGUAACUGCAUUUUAUUAGGAGAAAAGAGUCUGUCUUAUAGCUUGUUAUUUUGAAUGGAAAGAUGGGGGACAGAGUCAUAGGGAUACAGAAAGUGAUGGAAGAUUCGUGGGACAUGGACAAUAAGAAGAAUUUUGUGCAUGGUUGGGGCUAAGUUUAAAAUUUCAGUAAACUAAUUUUAAAAGUAAGCUAGUACAAAACUUGAAUUUGGGUUUGGUCUCUGUAAAAAGAAGGAUUUUCUUAAGUCAGGGCUAUGGAAAAUCUAAGACGGCCUCUGGGUUCUUCACGGCUCCCUGGCAAUUCCAAUAAUGAAAAAGAAAUGGUUAGAAAACGUGUUUUCCACUUGGAAGACUUUCUACGUCCUAAUUUGGCUAUAUUUGGUAAAAAUGAGGGUAAUUUUAAAGAAAGACUGUUGUGAUUCAUAGUCUAGUUUUGUCUAUUGAGAUUAGUGUUUGCUGUUUAAAACUCACCUCCCUAAUAGUUCUCUGCUGCUAUGUUACAUUACUAUAAACUUAAAUUAUUUCUCUUAAUAAUUCAAGUUUGUUUCUGAA
Non-coding RNA from Sus scrofa (pig), 3491 nucleotides. The record is from RefSeq and is a predicted model, not a curated record. Lineage: Eukaryota; Metazoa; Chordata; Mammalia; Artiodactyla; Suidae.